This is a long non-coding RNA of Neofelis nebulosa (Clouded leopard), 924 nucleotides long. RefSeq lists it as uncharacterized. The transcript is spliced from 2 exons. NCBI's taxonomy places the organism in Eukaryota, Metazoa, Chordata, Mammalia, Carnivora, Felidae. The record is from RefSeq and is a predicted model, not a curated record.
GUCACACCAUGCAUUAGCUCCUGGGCACACAGGUUAGGGGAGCAGCAAGUGUUCACAAACCACACAGACAAGCUCAUUACUGCACGCGGUGCUAUUAGCUUGGGCUCAGGGAUGGCCCAGAUUCCGAGUCCACUCCGUGUCCGCCACCGGCUCCAAUUCUGUCCUCCCUCCAGUGAUGCGAGCUUAGGACCCCAAGUGUCCCGCCCAAGUGGUGAGGCACUGGGGGAAACACUGGCUGCCCCCCGAAAGGUCUGGGACACUAGGCCCAGCUCUGAGCUCAGCUCUGGAUUUAGCCUGAGGCUGACUCACGGCCUCCCCCACUGCCCCCCCAACCAAGGGCUCUGUCUGUUACAGGUCAUUGCCCAGCUGGGGACUGUGCACAGCACAAAGGCACGCCCAGGUCGGCAGCCUGAAUCACCCUCUGGAACCCAGGCAGCCAACUGGCCUGGCUCCCAACCCUUGGCUCCUUUCCUUCUACCCACCACAGUCCCCAGACCAGGGGGGACCCAGUUCCAGAAGCCUCAGAACCAACGCCAUCCCCCGCGGCCCCCCACAGCGGCCCACGUUCCCAGCGGUCUGCACCCUAGGAGUCUGGGUAAAGAGAGGCACUCAAGCCCUUAACUCAGUGAACCGACGUUACGGGCCUGUGAGGGCAUUAACAAAGCUUCCCCAGAACUGCAGCAACUUUGGCUUUCUACCUGCAACACGCCAUCACCAGCCUGGAGGAAGGGGACCUGGAGAAUUGUAAAGCCACUUCACCUAUGGGUGAGAAAUUAGGACUGGUCCUCUUGAAAAUUAACAGGCAGAAUCUGCCUCAGCCCAGAGAGAGGCUUCGUUCAAAGAAUCCGUUCAGUUCAGUGGAGUUCAAGAACUCGUUUGUUCUUAUUACUGCUCAUCAUGAAUUAACAGUGAAAAAUUGGAGAA